RNAcentral lists this ribosomal RNA (459 nucleotides) under uncultured bacterium. Its description in RNAcentral is "bacterial SSU rRNA". It matches the Rfam family "Bacterial small subunit ribosomal RNA", at positions 52 to 507 of the family's 1533-position model. The record is from RNAcentral.
CACAUGCAAGUCGAACGGCAGCACGGGAGCAAGUCCUGGUGGCGAGUGGCGAACGGGUGAGUAAUAUAUCGGAACGUGCCCAGUCUGGGGGAUAACGUAGCGAAAGCUACGCUAAUACCGCAUACGAUCUAUGGAUGAAAGCGGGGAUCGCAAGACCUCGCGCGAUUGGAGCGGCCGAUAUCAGAUUAGGUAGUUGGUGAGGUAAAGGCUCACCAAGCCGACGAUCUGUAGCUGGUCUGAGAGGACGACCAGCCACACUGGGACUGAGACACGGCCCAGACUCCUACGGGAGGCAGCAGUGGGGAAUUUUGGACAAUGGGCGCAAGCCUGAUCCAGCAAUGCCGCGUGCAGGAUGAAGGCCUUCGGGUUGUAAACUGCUUUUGUACGGAACGAAACGGUGAGCUCUAAUACAGUUUGCUAAUGACGGUACCGUAAGAAUAAGCACCGGCUAACUACGUG